AACGAACGCUGGCGGCAUGCCUAACACAUGCAAGUCGAACGAGACCUUCGGGUCUAGUGGCGCACGGGUGCGUAACGCGUGGGAACCUGCCCUUAGGUUCGGAAUAACUCCCCGAAAGGGGUGCUAAUACCGGAUAAUGUCUUCGGACCAAAGAUUUAUCGCCUUUGGAUGGGCCCGCGUUGGAUUAGCUAGUUGGUAGGGUAAAAGCCUACCAAGGCGACGAUCCAUAGCUGGUCUGAGAGGAUGAUCAGCCACACUGGGACUGAGACACGGCCCAGACUCCUACGGGAGGCAGCAGUGGGGAAUAUUGGACAAUGGGCGGAAGCCUGAUCCAGCAAUGCCGCGUGAGUGAUGAAGGCCUUAGGGUUGUAAAGCUCUUUUACCCGGGAUGAUAAUGACAGUACCGGGAGAAUAAGCUCCGGCUAACUCCGU
This 432-nucleotide ribosomal RNA is filed under the name uncultured bacterium. RNAcentral's name for it is "partial 16S ribosomal RNA". It matches the Rfam family "Bacterial small subunit ribosomal RNA", at positions 29 to 506 of the family's 1533-position model. The record is from RNAcentral.